UACGGAGGGAGCUAGCGUUGUUCGGAAUUACUGGGCGUAAAGCGCACGUAGGCGGCUUUGUAGGUUAGAGGUGAAAGCCCGGGGCUCAACUCCGGAACUGCCUUUAAGACUGCAUCGCUUGAAUCCAGGAGAGGUGAGUGGAAUUCCGAGUGUAGAGGUGAAAUUCGUAGAUAUUCGGAAGAACACCAGUGGCGAAGGCGGCUCACUGGACUGGUAUUGACGCUGAGGUGCGAAAGCGUGGGGAGCAAACAGG
Molecule: ribosomal RNA, 253 nt
Filed under: uncultured bacterium
Lineage: Bacteria
Description: partial 16S ribosomal RNA
Rfam family: Bacterial small subunit ribosomal RNA
Source: RNAcentral